GAUGAAGAACGUAGCGAAAUGCGAUACGUAAUGUGAAUUGCAGAAUUCAGUGAAUCAUCGAGUCUUUGAACGCACAUUGCGCCCCCUGGUAUUCCGGGGGGCAUGCCUGUCCGAGCGUCAUUGCUGCCCUCAAGCACGGCUUGUGUGUUGGGCCACCGUCCUCCUCCCGGGGGACGGGCCCGAAAGGCAGCGGCGGCACCGCGUCCGGUCCUCGAGCGUAUGGGGCUUCGUCACCCGCUCUUGUAGGCCCGGCCGGCGCUUGCCGACACAUCAAUCUUUUUUCCAGGUUGACCUCGGAUCAGGUAGGGAUACCCGCUGAACUUAAGCAUAUCAAUAAGCGGAGGA
RNAcentral lists this unclassified non-coding RNA (345 nucleotides) under soil metagenome. RNAcentral describes it as "partial contains 5.8S ribosomal RNA, internal transcribed spacer 2, and large subunit ribosomal RNA". The stretch from base 1 to 120 matches the Rfam family "5.8S ribosomal RNA", at positions 35 to 154 of the family's 154-position model. The record is from RNAcentral.